This 447-nucleotide ribosomal RNA is filed under the name uncultured Roseobacter sp. RNAcentral describes it as "bacterial SSU rRNA". It matches the Rfam family "Bacterial small subunit ribosomal RNA", at positions 11 to 507 of the family's 1533-position model. The record is from RNAcentral. Lineage: Bacteria; Pseudomonadati; Pseudomonadota; Alphaproteobacteria; Rhodobacterales; Roseobacteraceae.
GUUUGAUCCUGGCUCAGAACGAACGCUGGCGGCAGGCCUAACACAUGCAAGUCGAGCGCACCUUCGGGUGAGCGGCGGACGGGUUAGUAACGCGUGGGAACGUACCCUUUUCUAAGGAAUAGCCACUGGAAACGGUGAGUAAUACCUUAUACGCCCUUCGGGGGAAAAUUUAUCGGAGAAGGAUCGGCCCGCGUUAGAUUAGAUAGUUGGUGGGGUAACGGCCUACCAAGUCUACGAUCUAUAGCUGGUUUUAGAGGAUGAUCAGCAACACUGGGACUGAGACACGGCCCAGACUCCUACGGGAGGCAGCAGUGGGGAAUCUUAGACAAUGGGCGCAAGCCUGAUCCAGCCAUGCCGCGUGAGUGAUGAAGGCCUUAGGGUCGUAAAGCUCUUUCGCUGGGGAUGAUAAUGACAGUACCCAGUAAAGAAACCCCGGCUAACUCCGUG